Peromyscus eremicus (cactus mouse) is the source of this 382-nucleotide long non-coding RNA. RefSeq lists it as uncharacterized. The record is from RefSeq and is a predicted model, not a curated record. The transcript is spliced from 3 exons. Lineage: Eukaryota; Metazoa; Chordata; Mammalia; Rodentia; Cricetidae.
CAUACUCCAGAUCUCUGAACAUUAGUGUACGGCUCCCCAACCCUGAUUACAAUCAGAUUUAGGCAGUUUCUAUUCAAAUAUAGUUCCCAGUGUAUCCUGGUAAAAAGAACAGACGGGCUGAUCUAGCCAGAACUGGUUUUGAGUACAUGCCCAGAAAGGCAACAUUGUGUCCUUCAACACCAUGUGUGCCUGGUGCCCAUGGAAGCCAGAAGAGGGCCUCAGACCACCUGGAACCAGACUUACAGAUGGUUGUGAUACCAUGUCCUGGCUGUGAAAUGAAAGUCAUUGCCCAACUCGGUCACCGUGUGCCCCCGAGUGGGUCCAAAGCAAGGACCCAAACCCCCAAAACUGUGAGCUAAAACAAACCUUUCUCUUUUUCAUA